GCCUGUGUGGCUCAGUAGAUAGAGCAUCAGCCUGUGGACUGAAGGGUCCCGGGUUCGAUUCCGGUCAAGGGCA
RNAcentral lists this transfer RNA (73 nucleotides) under Myotis davidii. It matches the Rfam family "tRNA". From Rfam's summary of the family: Transfer RNA (tRNA) molecules are approximately 80 nucleotides in length. Their secondary structure includes four short double-helical elements and three loops (D, anti-codon, and T loops). Lineage: Eukaryota; Metazoa; Chordata; Mammalia; Chiroptera; Vespertilionidae. The record is from Rfam by way of RNAcentral.